This 29-nucleotide non-coding RNA is filed under the name Mus musculus (house mouse). The record is from RNAcentral. Lineage: Eukaryota; Metazoa; Chordata; Mammalia; Rodentia; Muridae.
UAGGCAUGUGCUACCAUGCAGAGCUCUGC